CCUACGGGAGGCAGCAGUAGGGAAUUUUCGGCAAUGGGGGGAACCCUGAUCGAGCAACGCCGCGUGAACGAAGAAGUUAUUCGUAAUGUAAAGCUCUUUUAACAGGGAAGAAAUAGAAAUUUUACGGUACCUGAAGAGUAAGCUCGGACAAACUACGUGCCAGCGGCGUCGGUAAUACGUAGGUAGCACGGGUUAUCCGGAAUUUUUGGGCGUAAAGGGUGCGUAGAUGGCAGAGAAAGCCUGUGGGAAAAGUGCUGGGCUAAACCCAGUAGGGCAAAGGAUACUGCAAAGCUAGAGUAUGACAGAGGCAAGUGGAACUACAAGUGUAGCGGUAAAAUGCGUAAAUAUAUGUAAGAACACCAGUGGCGAAGGCGGCUUGCUGGGUCGAUACUGACGUUGAGGCACGAAAGCGUGGGGAGCAAACAGGAUUAGAUACCCGGGUAGUC
This 446-nucleotide ribosomal RNA is filed under the name uncultured bacterium. RNAcentral's name for it is "partial 16S ribosomal RNA". It matches the Rfam family "Bacterial small subunit ribosomal RNA", at positions 338 to 795 of the family's 1533-position model. The record is from RNAcentral.